This 294-nucleotide unclassified non-coding RNA is filed under the name fungal sp. Its description in RNAcentral is "partial contains 5.8S ribosomal RNA, internal transcribed spacer 2, and large subunit ribosomal RNA". The record is from RNAcentral. Lineage: Eukaryota; Fungi.
CGCACAUUGCGCCCUUUGGUAUUCCGAAGGGCAUGCCUGUUCGAGCGUCAUUAUCACCCCUCGAGCCCCUGUGGCUUGGCUUUGGACGGCCUGGUCAGGCGACUGACCCCUCCUAAAGACAAUGACGGCGGCCUCGCAGGACCCCCGGUACACUGAGCUUCUUAACUGAGCACGUAUCGGAUCGAGGGUUCUCGGGGCACGGUCUCCUUUCCCCCCUCCCCUCCCCGGGGCGGUGGGAAAACAAAUCUUUCUCAGGUUGACCUCGGAUCAGGUAGGGAUACCCGCUGAACUUAA